AAUAGAUACCCUGGUAGUCCACGCCGUAAACGAUGAGUGCUAAGUGUUGGAGGGUUUCCGCCCUUCAGUGCUGCAGCUAACGCAUUAAGCACUCCGCCUGGGGAGUACGGUCGCAAGACUGAAACUCAAAGGAAUUGACGGGGGCCCGCACAAGCGGUGGAGCAUGUGGUUUAAUUCGAAGCAACGCGAAGAACCUUACCAGGUCUUGACAUCUCCUGACCGCCCUGGAGACAGGGUCUUCCCUUCGGGGACAGGAUGACAGGUGGUGCAUGGUUGUCGUCAGCUCGUGUCGUGAGAUGUUGGGUUAAGUCCCGCAACGAGCGCAACCCUUGGUUCUAGUUGCCAGCAUUCAGUUGGGCACUCUAGAGCGACUGCCGGCGACAAGUCGGAGGAAGGUGGGGAUGACGUCAAAUCAUCAUGCCCCUUAUGACCUGGGCUACACACGUGCUACAAUGGAUGGUACAAAGGGCAGCGAAGCGGCGACGCAUAAGCGAAUCCCAGAAAACCAUUCUCAGUUCGGAUUG
This 524-nucleotide ribosomal RNA is filed under the name uncultured bacterium. RNAcentral describes it as "bacterial SSU rRNA". It matches the Rfam family "Bacterial small subunit ribosomal RNA", at positions 777 to 1300 of the family's 1533-position model. The record is from RNAcentral.